Molecule: ribosomal RNA, 677 nt
Filed under: uncultured bacterium
Lineage: Bacteria
Description: bacterial SSU rRNA
Rfam family: Bacterial small subunit ribosomal RNA
Source: RNAcentral
CGGCGUGCCUAAUACAUGCAAGUCGAGCGAGCGGAACUAACAGAUUUACUUCGGUAAUGACGUUAGGAAAGCGAGCGGCGGAUGGGUGAGUAACACGUGGGGAACCUGCCCCAUAGUCUGGGAUACCACUUGGAAACAGGUGCUAAUACCGGAUAAGAAAGCAGAUCGCAUGAUCAGCUUUUAAAAGGCGGCGUAAGCUGUCGCUAUGGGAUGGCCCCGCGGUGCAUUAGCUAGUUGGUAAGGUAAAGGCUUACCAAGGCGAUGAUGCAUAGCCGAGUUGAGAGACUGAUCGGCCACAUUGGGACUGAGACACGGCCCAAACUCCUACGGGAGGCAGCAGUAGGGAAUCUUCCACAAUGGACGCAAGUCUGAUGGAGCAACGCCGCGUGAGUGAAGAAGGUUUUCGGAUCGUAAAGCUCUGUUGUUGGUGAAGAAGGAUAGAGGUAGUAACUGGCCUUUAUUUGACGGUAAUCAACCAGAAAGUCACGGCUAACUACGUGCCAGCAGCCGCGGUAAUACGUAGGUGGCAAGCGUUGUCCGGAUUUAUUGGGCGUAAAGCGAGCGCAGGCGGAAGAAUAAGUCUGAUGUGAAAGCCCUCGGCUUAACCGAGGAACUGCAUCGGAAACUGUUUUUCUUGAGUGCAGAAGAGGAGAGUGGAACUCCAUGUGUAGCGGUGG